CUUUUACUGGAGCUGUACAGUGGAGUCGGUGAUUGCUGCUGAUCAUAAUCAAGUAUUUUAGGAGCUUAUUUAGACAUGUAUCUGAUAGCUAAGGAUUUUUCAACUUUAUUCUCUUACGUAUUUUUCAACUGUAAAUUAUUGGGCUUUUAAAUCCUGCUAGUAUUGCUCGACUCUUACUCUCACAAAUGGAUGGAAUUAAUUGCUGUUAGGAGGUUGGAAAAUAGCAAAUAUAGAUUUGGACGGUGGUAGUAAUUUUGAGCAAAUAAUGUUUUAUCUUUUUUUUCCUUAUUUUUCCCUAUUCCAGUCAUACACGUGGACCUAACUGCACCAGUAGCUUUUCUGAGAAUACUUGCUGAAAAGGAAGUUUUCUGGAAUGGUAUUUGCUAAGUGGAAGCCAGAAGAGGAGGAAAAUGUUUUGCCACGUGGAUGUGAAGAUUUCCUCUAAAAGGUACACAUGGACUAAAUUGCCUUUAAAUGUUCCAAAAUUAGUUCUCAUUUAUUUGCAGUCUCAUUUUGUUUUGUUUUUUUUCUCUAUGUGUCAAUCCAUUUGGGAGAGGCCAGCCAUUGGAAGAGCCACCACUUCCAGUGCUAGUUGGAUGGUUGGUUAUGAUUGCCUUCUGUAAAGAAUUCUUAAGGCAUAAAUACGUGUCUAAAUGGACCUCAUAUCUUUGAGAUAAUUAAACUAAUUUUUUCUUCCCCAUUAGGGAUUAUGCUGAAUUUGUAUGGUUUAUAGUUGUUAGAGUUUGAGGUGUUAAUUCUAAUUAUCUAUUUCAAAUUUAGCAGGAAAAAAGAGAACAUCACCUUGUAAAACUGAAGAUUGUGACCAGUCAGAAUAAUGUCAAAGUGCUUACAGUGCAGGUAGUGAUAUGUGCAUCUACUGCAGUGAAGGCACUUGUAGCAUUAUGGUGACAGCUGCCUCGGGAAGCCAAGUUGGGCUUUAAAGUGCAGGGCCUGCUGAUGUUGAGUGCUUUUUGUUCUAAGGUGCAUCUAGUGCAGAUAGUGAAGUAGAUUAGCAUCUACUGCCCUAAGUGCUCCUUCUGGCAUAAGAAGUUAUGUAUUCAUCCAAUAAUUCAAGCCAAGCAAGUAUAUAGGUGUUUUAAUAGUUUUUGUUUGCAGUCCUCUGUUAGUUUUGCAUAGUUGCACUACAAGAAGAAUGUAGUUGUGCAAAUCUAUGCAAAACUGAUGGUGGCCUGCUAUUUCCUUCAAAUGAAUGAUUUUUACUAAUUUUGUGUACUUUUAUUGUGUCGAUGUAGAAUCUGCCUGGUCUAUCUGAUGUGACAGCUUCUGUAGCACUAAAGUGCUUAUAGUGCAGGUAGUGUUUAGUUAUCUACUGCAUUAUGAGCACUUAAAGUACUGCUAGCUGUAGAACUCCAGCUUCGGCCUGUCGCCCAAUCAAACUGUCCUGUUACUGAACACUGUUCUAUGGUUAGUUUUGCAGGUUUGCAUCCAGCUGUGUGAUAUUCUGCUGUGCAAAUCCAUGCAAAACUGACUGUGGUAGUGAAAAGUCUGUAGAAAAGUAAGGGAAACUCAAACCCCUUUCUACACAGGUUGGGAUCGGUUGCAAUGCUGUGUUUCUGUAUGGUAUUGCACUUGUCCCGGCCUGUUGAGUUUGGUGGGGAUUGUGACCAGAAGAUUUUGAAAAUUAAAUAUUACUGAAGAUUUCGACUUCCACUGUUAAAUGUACAAGAUACAUGAAAUAUUAAAGAAAAUGUGUAACUUUUUGUGUAAAUACAUCUUGUCUUGUUUUCAUUCAAAAACAUUUCACUUUUGGGGUUGCGUGUCAGAUUUGGCAGUAUAAAUUCUGGCUAUAUUUUUUGUUGUUAGAUUUAUUUGGCUGUUAAGUAUUGCGAUAUGACUAAACAUACUGUAUACCUGAUGAUCAUCUGUAAAGUUAGAGUAUAUCUUUUUGCUUUCUUUGGAGUUAGUGUUAUUCCAGGAUAUUUUACUUAAUCUAAAAGUUAAUUUAUGUUGCUCAUAUAUUACUCAAGUAUUUAAAUUUAGAGAGAAUGCCGCUCUGUUUAAAGCAAUGUGUAAAGAUGAGUUUUUUUAAGCAUGGAAUUUAGGGUUGGGGUACAAUUUGUUUCUAUUAAGCAAGUACCAGUUUACCAAUACAUGAGUAACUGAAGUGUAACUGUUAAAUGCUUGUAUACUAGUUUUUCUUUCUGAUUGUCAGUGAUUUAUAAGCUAUAAAUGACCAAGGUCCUCAGACUGCUUUUAGCAUCUGCAACUUAAAAAAAUGGGAGUUAGAAAAAGAACAAAUGCUAAAUAGAGUAACAGUUAAAUGUAUGUGUACACUCUUCCCAAAUGCCAAGAGUGCAGCGGUGGGGUGAGAUUCAGAUAUUCAUUUAUUUCUAAGUCUGUAGUUAACAUUUAUGUUCCCUACUCCCUACGUAAGCCAGACUUUGGCAACAGUGAUAGUUGAUUCCAGGCUUAUUUGACUUAAAGUCACUGAAGUGGAAACUAAGAAGUGGCAGUUAGUGUUUUACCCAGCAUUUCUGCCUUCUCUCUUUUCUUCAUGUGUUUUUGUCUCUAGCCUAUGUGUAUUUGUGUAGAAUAAUGUGGGAUACCUGAAUAAUAGAUUUAAAAGGACCAAGUGGUAAAAUUGGGCCCAAGCUGAAGUACAGGCAAACUUGAUGUUUGAAAGAUAAGUUUUGAGAAAUGUCAUUGUAUUUUGGAGUAAAAGAGGCUAUCUUAGUAAUAAGAAAUAAACUUCCAUAACACUAGGUUAGACCACCCAAUAAAUCUAGAAAUCAGCUUUUAAAAAUAUUGUCUGAAGUCUAACAAAAGUUUUCACCUCUAAUGUGUUCUUUAAGAAAUUUAAGGAACUUAGCCUUGGAUUCCUGAAUAGAAAGGUAAGAAUUCUAUCAUUCUGGAGUUGAUGAAAACAUAAAUUUUCAGGAUGUGAAAUGAACAGUGAUUUAUAAAAUGGAAAUCAAAUUGUACAUUAGCAGAGUUCUUAAGCUUUUUGAAUUGAAGGAGACCUAAUAAUUGUGUCUUUUUGGUUAUUUAGUGACAAACGUGGCUUUCAAACUAUGCUUAAAAAGUUCCGGCUGGACACGGUGGCUCACACCUAUAAUCCUAGCACUUGGGGAGGCUGAGGCAGACGGAUUACCUGAGGUCAGGAGUUCGAGACCAACCUGGCCGACAUGGUGAAACGCUGUCUCUACUAAAAAUAUAAAAAAUUAGCCGGGUGCAGUGGCGUGCACCUGUAAUCCCAGCUACUCUGGAGGCUGAGGCAGGAGAAUCACCUGAACCUGGGAGGUGGAGGUUUCAGUGAGCUGAGAUCCUGCCACUGCACUCCAGCCUGGGCGCAAGACCAAGACUUAAACGCAAAAAAAAAAAAAAAAAAAAAAAAAAAGUUUCAUAAUACAGCAUGGUCUGGUAGUUUGCAAAAUGGUGUGCUUUUGGGGAGAUACACUAGCAAUUUUUUUAAAAACUGGAACAGUGUGAUAGGAAGCCUGCUGGAUGAUUUCUUAAAUAUUCUAAAAUGUAAGUCAAAUAUGUUUUAAUAACAAAGACUUAAAUGGCUUUUCUCCCUAGAGACUGAAACUAGUAUUCAUUGUGUUCAGAACUUAAUUGGGCUUGAACUGAGAUUUAAAUCUAAUAAACAAGUUAAUAAAUGUGUAUGUUUUGUUGUGGGUUUGGUAGUGAUCUGUGGUUCUAUAGGGUUUAAUAGGAAUUGCUUUUGAUUUGUUUCUGGCUUUAGAAUGUGAGGCAAAUUUUACAUUCUUGGUUCUAUUAAGAUUUUCUUAGGCAUGCUAACAUGCCAACAAAAAGCCAUGUAAGUAUUGUAUAAAAAGAUUCACAUUGUUAAUUUAGCCAUUUUGAAAUUCAGAUGAGUGAGCAAGUUGAUAAUGGCCUCAUCUCUGACCUGAGAAAAAACAACUUUGACCCUUGUUCUUAAAAUGCUUUAACCUUGAAGUUGCUUGAGACUUAAGAGGUCAUGUUGCUUUAGGUUUAAUAAAUAGCCUUAACUAUUUGGAGGGGAAAAAAUGGGUCAACUUUUUUUUUUUUUUUUGGCGUUUGCAUGUACAACUUUCUAUUUUUAGCCUAUAUUUGGAAAGAAAGCACUUAACAUUUUAGGAAUUCUUUUUAAAGCUGCUUGCAAAGUGUUGGUGAUUUUACUGAAAACUUUUGAGAUCUUCAUUUUACAGGCAGACCUGUCUAACUACAAGCCAGACUUGGGUUUUCUCCUGUAGUUUGAAGACACACUGACUCCUGACAAAAUGCAGCCUGCAACUUCCUGGAGAACAACUCAGUGUCACAUUAAAGUUUAUUAUGUAUUUAAUGAUACACUGUUUAAUUGACAGUUUUGCAUAGUUUGUCUAACUUUAGAGAAUUAAGAGCCUCUCAACUGAGCAGUAAAGGUAAGGAGAGCUCAAUCUGCACAGAGCCAGUUUUUAGUGUUUGAUGGAAAUAAGAUCAUCAUGCCCACUUGAGACUUCAGAUUAUUCUUUAGCUUAGUGGUUGUAUGAGUUACAUCUUAUUAAAGUCGAAAUUAAUGUAGUUUUCUGCCUUGAUAACAUUUCAUAUGUGGUAUUAGUUUUAAAGGGUCAUUAGGAAAAUGCACAUAUUCCAUGAAUUUUAAGACCCAUAGAAAAGUUGAAGAAUGCUUAAUUUUCUUAUCCAGUAAUGUAAACACAGAGACAGAACAUUGAGAUGUGCCUAGUUCUGUAUUUACAGUUUGGUCUGGCUGUUUGAGUUCUAGCGCAUUUAAUGUUAAUAAAUAAAAUACUGCAUUUUAAAGCUGUUAAGAAAUUGUCCAGAACGAGAAUAUUGAAAUAAAAACUUCAAGGUUAUUAUCGCAGUUUUUAUGGCGUUUUUGUUUUGUCACUACAGAUGGUCUAAAGGUUACUUAUUAAUUAAUUGGGGAAGUGGAGACAAGGACCAAAGUUUAUCUGGAUUUUCUUAUUUAAUCUUCAUUACCUGUGAAAUAUGUAUUUGUAUUCUUACUUUACAUAUGAGAUCAGAAGUUCAUUUUCAAGCAGAAUGGAAAGGUGGUAAAUGGACUCUGAAUUAAAAUAUGUCAGUAUUUUAAAAGGUUAUCUUCUGCCUAGUAUUUUUAUGGAAUCUGACAAGUUCUCAGAUCACACUUGUUUCCUUAAAUCUUGGUAAGUCUGAAGCAUUCUUCAUUUUGUUUAUAUUAUACACGUUAGUAAGGUGGGAGUUCUUUUGUUUUUUGUGUUUUUUGGCCAGUUGAUAACAUGAAAGUUUAAGAGAGGAGGCCAAAGUAUAUAAAAAGUCUUAAACUCCUGCUUCUAAUAAAUGUCCAAUAUGUGUUGGCUCCUGGGUUGAGUGUUUAUUAAUGGGUCUGUACUAACUCUAAAACAUUAAAUAAGAAUGGUAUGUUCUGACCAGCCCUCAAAGUUCAGCCAUUUCUAAAAGUUCAAAAAAUCAUUGUAAAUAUUUUUUAAAUGAGGUACGAGAUUGUACCUGUCUAUGGCCAGUAACACAAGAAAUCUAGGCUCAUGCAGAGUUUUAGCAUAGUUGACCCUCAGUAUCAGUGGAGGGAUUGGUAGGACCCUCAGUGCAUACCAAAUUCUUCAGGUGCUCAAGUCCCUUAUGUAAAGUGGUGCAGUGUUUGCAUGUAAAUCUAUACAUGUCUUCUUGUAUGCUUUAAGCUGUCUAUAUAUUGCUUGAAUAAUCUGGUAAAAUAUCUUACAUAUUAUUCAUGUAGAUUCAGUAUAGUAUUUGCGUGUGGCAAAUUCAGGUUUGGCUUUUGGGGACUUCGUGAGAUUUUUUUUCCUGAGUAUUUUCAGUCUGUUUGUGGUUGGAUGCAGGAACCACAGAUACAUAGGGCUAACUUAAGUAAGUGCCGACAUAAAUGCGUUAGUCAUAGAGGUAAAUAACAAAGACCUGAGUUUGGUAGUAAGUUCCCCGAAAUGAAAUGUUAGUAUACUCCUAAGUGAUUAGUAAUUAGAUCUCAGGUUGAAUAUACUAAAUCCUUAAUAACUGCAUGUUUACUUUUAAGACCUAGAUUUGUCAGUAUAUUAGUAGAGGUGAGCAUGUACUAAUUGUUCACACUUGUUUAUAAAAGCAUAUAUACUGUGAAUUUUUAGUACGUUUAAUGUUGACUUCAACUUACAUAGACUGAAAAAGAUUGAAAAAAAGCUUCGACGACAUCAGUUCUGCACUUGUUGAGAUGUACUGAUCCAGAUGGAAUACCACACUGUUCAGCAGGUUGGGGUAACUAGAUGAGACUAGUGAAUGUUCCAAGAGUAGAUGAAAAUUGGGGUCCUGUAAGGUGGUGCUAGGAAUUCUAAAGUGAUUAUGCAUUUACCAAGAAAAGGUUCUUAACCAGUUGUCUUAAAAUUAUUAAGACGUAAAGACCUGGAAUCUUAAUCUAGCUGCACUAUAUUAGAGUCUUUGGGGCAGGAUGCUGCGCAGACAAGUAUUUUGAGAAAUACCUGUUGAUUUUGCUGUAUAUACUUAAGGAUAUAUCUACUACCCUGAAUUGUUGGAAAUGCUGAGCCAUAGGAAUGCAGAAGAACAUCAAAACACCUUAGAAUUUAUAUGCAGGAAAGAGACCAGUAAACUAUUUUUAUGGUUCAUGCAGUCAUUACUCAGUUUUAUAGCUGACUGACAAAAUAUGUGCCCCAACCCCACAUUUAUUUCUAAAUCCACAGGCUUUUCCUUACUCUUCAAUUUCAGUAACUUCCCUUUUUCUUCUCCAAUGAUACUUUGUUUUGGUAACAGCACCUAACAGGCCAGGUGUGUAGUUGUCUUUGUGCUAUACCUGUAUUUCCUUGGUUGGCUACUGUCACAGUGGCCACCAUCAUUCUGAACAAGUAAGGUGCACAAGGUACAAGCCAUGUCUUUAGACAUAGGUUAUCGUCAGCAUUUAGAUUCUCCUCUAAGGCUUUCAUCUAAAACUCCCUUGGUUUUGUGUUUAAAACUUAGUCCACAGUUUUCUAGUGUUACCCUCAGAAUAAUUGUCAAAAUUGUACUUUCUAAUACUCAAGAUUGCAUCUAAAUUUCAAGUUAGAAAAGAUGUUUAUGCCAUAUUCUGAGUGUCUUGUGUUUAUAACCUAUGAUUCUGCCCUUGACUGUACUUACGAAUACUCCUUUUAAAAUACGAAACUUGAUUGAGACCCCAGCUCAUUUACUGAUGUCUUAAUACAACUGCCUUUCCACUUAAGUGUUUUGGCUCCCCCAGUUCCUAUCAUUUAUCCUCUCCAGGCAGACUUCCACUUCAGACUGCAUUUGCUAUUCCCUUAGUUUGGGAACUUCCCACUCCGGAUACCUAUGACUUAGUCUUGUUUCCUUGUAGUCCUUGUACACAGAUGUCAGACUGGCUCUCCCUUAAACUGCAUACUCUGUUCCUGUUCUCUGCAUCAUCAUCCUGAAUUAGUGGCAUCACCUGGGAUAUUGGAAGUGCAGGUCCUUCCCACCCCCUUCCAAACCUGAAUUGGGAGCUUCGUUUUUUAAUCCCCCCAAUUAAUCUCUAAGAUAUAAGGCCUCCAAGGGCAAAGAUUUGAAGAUGUGUGGUUCAUGGAUGCUUAUUCAACAUCUAAAAUGGUACCUGGUGUGUAGAAGGCACUGAAUAGACUGAACAGGUAAGUGGAAAUGCCCGUGGGUGAAUGUUACUUCUAGGAUGAGACGGUCUGAAAGAGAAAAGCAAAACAAGACUAGUAUGGGGGCAAAGUGCAUUAUUGACGGUGUGGUAAAAAGUCAUUAGAGCAACGUUGGUGGAGCAAGAAAACAGAGUAAGUAAAAAGGAUUUGCUGUGUACAGUAAUCCCAGCAAAAAUGAAGGAAAGCCUAGAAGUGGGGGAUCAAGAAAAAAACCAACUGAUAGAUGCUCCAUUUGUGUGGAUAUGUAAUGUUCAUCUGUUGGAAGUAAAUGUAAAACCCAGCUUCUAAAUCUCAGAAAGCAACUGACAGCAGCAAUAGGGUGAAUGUGAAAGCACUGAACAAAGUAACAAAAGUGCUGAGAAGUUGUGCUUUGUGACAGAUUAGUUUUCAUGAUGUUGCGUGGAUGUGAGAAGGCUCUGCUAAUAGGUAUAGUCAGGUGUGUUUUUUUUUUCGGUUUGGUUUGUUCUCUGUAUUACUUUGAAAUUUAGACUAUCAAGUACCAGAAUACUAUAGUUUUCUAACUCAGGUUCACUCCCUGCAGAAGGUUCAGGAGUACAAGAAGCCCUGCACUGAAUCGUGGUGCCUCAAUUAAAUUUUGAGUUGUCCUUUUGGCUUCCUGAGACAAAACAACGUGUUAAACCAGUUACUUCGAGUGUGUGACAUGAGAAGAUGGAUGAUGAUAAAGAGAAGUUGAGAAAGGCACCUCAGAUUAAUUUUAGGAAACAAAUGUAAACUAAACUUGAAUUCUAUUCUCUUUGAGUCAUGUAAUACUUGGCUAAUCGGUUGAGAAGCUUAAAGAACUAUUUAAGAAGUCUUACAGUGUAAUGUUUAGGACGGAGAAUUCUGGGUUCAAGUACCAGUUUCCUCCAUUAAUAGCUUAGGCAACUUAAGUGUGUUGUCUUUCCCCAAAAAUUGUAAGCUUAGGUAGGCUUUCCCAUCUUGAUCAAAAAGGUAGCUAUCAUGUUCACAUCCAGCUGGAAAAUAAACCUUUCCUCAACUUCAAAGUGAAUUUUCAGCUCCACUCUGCCCACCUGAACUCGGUCUGAGGAACAAGAUUACAUUCAGGCUUGAGCUUUGUGUACCAUCUCUGUUGACAGUACCACUGAAAGUCUGUUCCCUUCCUGAAGCACACAGGAUACCUAGGCAGGUUGGUGGCAUGGAUAACUGAAAGAUGAGAAUACAAUAUUAACAUUUGGGGGCACAUAGAUUUUAGUGAGGGUAGAGAUGGAAGAGAGGAAGGGAGAGGAUUUUCAUUAAGUUGAUAACUUGAGCACAAGUCUAAGGCAAACAUUGUCAGGCCUCUGUUAUUCAACCGCACUUGGCAAGGCUGAUGCAGCUGCUGCUUAUAGGUCUUGGCUAAAAUAUUACUUCCUCAAAGCCUUUUCUGACUGCCCUCCCCUAUUCAGUUAAUCUCUGCCAUGUUUUAUUCAAAGUACUUAACUACAAUUUAUAGUUAUGUGUAUUUGGAUAUUUUGUUAUUUUGAAUUCAUUACAUUACUGCUUUUAACAAAUUGCCACAAACUUUUUUUGUUGUUUGAGACAGUCUUGCUCUGUCACCCAGGCUGGAGUUCAGUGACCCAAUCAGCUCACUGCAACCUCUGCCUCCUGGGUUCAAGCGAUUCUCCUGCCUCAGCCUCCCCAGUAGCUGGGAUUACAGAUAUGCUUGCACCAGCACGCCUGGCUAAUUUUUGUAUUUUUAGUAGAGAUGGGGUUUCACCAUGUUGGCCAGGCUGGUCUCAAACUCCUGACCUUGUGAUCUGCCCACCUCGGGCUCCCAAAGGCCGCAAACUUUUAAUGGCUUGAAAUCUUACAGUUCUGUAGGUCAGGAGUCUUGACACAGGUCCCACUAGGUUACAAUUAAGGUGUCAGCAGGGCUGUAUUAGUCCCUAGAGUCUUUAGGGGAGGCAAGGUUUUUUUUUUUUAUCUUUUCAAGCUUCUGAAGACUCUGCCUUUGGCUCACGGUCUCUUACUCCAUCUUCAUAUCUAGCAGCAGCAGGUGGCGUCUGCAUCACACUGGACCCCUCUUACCUCCCUCUUUCACUUUUAAGGACCCUUGUGAUUAAUAUUGAGCCCAUCCAAAUAUUUAGAAAUAAUUUAUUUUAAGGUCAGCUCAUUGGCAGUCUUAAUUCCCCUUGUAACAUUUCACAUUUGCAGGUUCUAGGAUUAGGACUUGGAUAUUGUUGGAGGUCAUUCUGCCUGUCUUAGGGAAUUGUGUUGGUUUUGGACAUGGUUAUAGUUCCAGGCAUACAUAACUGCUUAGAGUUGUUUUCAGACAGCGUAAGUGAAAUGAAUGAGCUAAGGAAAAUACUUAAUCCAAUAAAAAAUAGAACAUACUCGGGCUGUCUCAAUGUUUUCCUACGGUAUUUAAGUGCCAGUUUAUGGAGGUUUUAAAGAAAAGAUUUUCUCAGACGAGAAGAGCUUAUAAUAUACUUCCUGCAAACAUUCUAGAAAAUGUAGGUCCUUAUCAGUCAACCUUCAGAAUGGGGAAACCACAAAAUAAGUGAAAUUUUGUUAACCUAUCUAAGUAAACAUUAAAGAGUUGCUUUUAGAAAUGACACAAUGUAAAGAGACCAUCAGGGUCUAAAACCUCAUUAGCCAGAACUGGAAAAUGAGCUUUUAAAUACAGGUAAAAAGUAAAUAAGCAAUUUAUCCUCUACUUUGUUAGAGUACAGAAAUAGUAUUUCAAAGCAACCACUAGCAGAAUAAAAGACUAUACUUAACUUUGAAAUCACCAGGAAAAAGGCUAGGAAAACAGCCCACAAAGCAAAAGACAAAAAGGAGGAGACAGAAAUAAGAACAUUUUUAAUUAAAAUUAAGCACAGAAAAAUUUUAAGUAGUUUGUAUUCAAG
Molecule: long non-coding RNA, 10423 nt
Filed under: Homo sapiens (human)
Lineage: Eukaryota; Metazoa; Chordata; Mammalia; Primates; Hominidae
Description: non-protein coding MIR17HG:22
Rfam family: mir-19 microRNA precursor family (bases 1419-1497)
Source: RNAcentral